UCCUGCCGGUNANACCAGUAGGGAUGACGGUACCCAAAGAAUAAGCACCGGCUAACUUCGUGCCAGUAGCCGCGGUAAUACGAAGGGUGCAAGCGUUACUCGGAAUUACUGGGCGUAAAGCGUGCGUAGGUGGUUGUUUAAGUCUGUUGUGAAAGCCCUGGGCUCAACCUGGGAAUUGCAAUGGAUACUGGGCGACUAGAGUGUGGUAGAGGACAGUGGAAUUUCCGGUGUAGCAGUGAAAUGCGUAGAGAUCGGAAGGAACAUCUGUGGCGAAGGCGACUGUCUGGGCCAACACUGACACUGAGGCACGAAAGCGUGGGGAGCAAACAGGAUUAGAUACCCUGGUAGUCC
This 351-nucleotide ribosomal RNA is filed under the name uncultured bacterium. Its description in RNAcentral is "bacterial SSU rRNA". It matches the Rfam family "Bacterial small subunit ribosomal RNA", at positions 452 to 796 of the family's 1533-position model. The record is from RNAcentral.